Molecule: transfer RNA, 76 nt
Filed under: Candidatus Adiutrix sp.
Lineage: Bacteria; Pseudomonadati; Thermodesulfobacteriota; Desulfarculia; Candidatus Adiutricales; Candidatus Adiutricaceae
Description: tRNA-Glu
Rfam family: tRNA
About the family: Transfer RNA (tRNA) molecules are approximately 80 nucleotides in length. Their secondary structure includes four short double-helical elements and three loops (D, anti-codon, and T loops).
Source: RNAcentral
GGUCCCAUCGUCUAGCGGUCCAGGAUACCGCCCUCUCACGGCGGGGACACCGGUUCAAGUCCGGUUGGGACUGCCA